This 73-nucleotide transfer RNA is filed under the name Dallia pectoralis (Alaska blackfish). RNAcentral describes it as "tRNA-Thr". Lineage: Eukaryota; Metazoa; Chordata; Actinopteri; Esociformes; Umbridae. The record is from RNAcentral.
GGAGUUGGUAGCUUAGUGAUAGAGUGCAUGCUUUGUGUGUAUGACGUCCUGGCUUCAAUCCCCAGCUUCUCCC